GAUGAACGCUGGCGGCGUGCCUAAUACAUGCAAGUCGAGCGAACAGACGAGGAGCUUGCUCCUCUGACGUUAGCGGCGGACGGGUGAGUAACACGUGGAUAACCUACCUAUAAGACUGGGAUAACUUCGGGAAACCGGAGCUAAUACCGGAUAAUAUAUUGAACCGCAUGGUUCAAUAGUGAAAGACGGUUUUGCUGUCACUUAUAGAUGGAUCCGCGCCGCAUUAGCUAGUUGGUAAGGUAACGGCUUACCAAGGCGACGAUGCGUAGCCGACCUGAGAGGGUGAUCGGCCACAUGUGAACUGGGACCGGGUCCAGACUCCUAGGGGGGGCAGCAGUAGGGAAUCUCCCGCAAUGGGCGAAAGCCUGAGGGGGCAACGCCGCGUGAGUGAUGAAGGUCUUCGGAUCGUAAAACUCUUUUAUUAGGGAAGAAAAAAUGUUAAAGUAACUAUGCACGUCUUGACGGUACCUAAUCAAAAAGCCACGGCUAACUACGU
Molecule: ribosomal RNA, 496 nt
Filed under: uncultured bacterium
Lineage: Bacteria
Description: partial 16S ribosomal RNA
Rfam family: Bacterial small subunit ribosomal RNA
Source: RNAcentral